Molecule: non-coding RNA, 1282 nt
Organism: Xyrichtys novacula (pearly razorfish)
Lineage: Eukaryota; Metazoa; Chordata; Actinopteri; Labriformes; Labridae
Source: the annotation of a GenBank genome assembly
GAGCUUUCCCAUCGGAGCUGACACAUUUACAAGAAAAUUAUGCAAAAUGUUUAAGGAGUCUUGUCAUCAUUAUGCUUGCAGGGAUACAGUAAAAUGGAAAAUCUGUAUCGUCAGCAGGUGGGAGACCUGAUAUGAUCAGGUAAGCAGAUGAACAGAACUGCAGAAAUCACUAAUUCCCCUACUGGGCAACUUUUUAAAGCUCCAGUGGGAAGUUUUUGACUAUAACAGACUCUGAAAUUAGCACUAUUUUUGCCAGGCAUCUUGGAGGGCAACUGCUAUGCAGAAGUACUCUAGAUGAAAACAGUCAGCUUAGACUAGUAUAAAGACAGGUACCAGGAAAACCACAAUACGACUGGCCAUGCCCUGAGUCAAAAAGUAUUCUGACUUAAAACUUCCAACCUUAUUCUUAAACAUAAUUAUCAAAUUUGUUCACACAACACUCUGUCUGAGAAGUAUCUUUUUUUAUUUAAACUUGUUGAGCCAUGUCAAUAAUUGUAAUAAUGUUUUGUUAUUCAUUUAAGUCAAACCUAACAUUUCUUCUUACACUAUUUCUUAACCAUUUAAUGUCUAACCAGCUGUUCAUUUUUUUGUUGAUACAGGUCUGUAAAGUCGGCUGCUGUGAUUGUUCCAGUUCUUUUCCUAACCUUUUCCUCAUCUGACAAAGAAACUGGACUCUUAUGCUGCGUUCGAGUUACCUAGGAGGUCAGAAAAUGACGUCACACCCAAGUUCCUAGCAUUUCCGAUACCAAGUUGAAAAAAAAAGCAAAAUCGUAGGCCUGAAACAAGAUGGCUACAUCUACCAGUUAGUAAGUUAUUUUAGCACUUGCCUUAUGUUCAGACAAGGCAAGUGCUAAAAUAACUUUCGUAGAUGUAGCCAUUUUGUUUUCACCUCCGAUUUUGCUCUAAUCCGACUUGGUAACGGAAACGCUGGUAACUCUGGUGUGACAUCAUUUUCAGCUCCGACAUCUGACUUCCGAGGUAACUCGGACGCAGCAUUAAUUUUCAACCUUUUUAUCAAAGAAAACACAAUUUAUUUCAUGAUUAACAGUAAAAUCAACAUCCAACACAACCUGUAAGCAAAUACUUUAGAAAUUAGCCUUUUUUUUUUUACGGAUGUGUCAUCUGCUGAUUUUAUUUUUCAUGCACAUUAUUGUUUUUUAAUCAUAAUGAACUUAAAGAUUAAAUCAAAAAUUUAAAAAGGAUUUAUCUAACCUGUUUUAUAAUAUUAUGUGUAAUCCAGGUAAUUCAAGAUGAGAUCACAUACAAUAUCUCUGUAAACAAA